GACGAACGCUGGCGGCGUGCUUAACACAUGCAAGUCGAACGGAAAGGCCUGCUUUCCCUUGUGGAUUGCGGGUACUCGAGUGGCGAACGGGUGAGUAGCACGUGAGUGAUCUGCCCCCAACUUGGGUAUAAGCCUGGGAAACUGGGUCUAAUUCCCGAUAGGACUGCAGGGUGGUGCCUGUGGUGGAAAACGAUUUUCUAGUGGUUGGGGAUGAGCUCGCGGCCUAUCAGCUUGUUGGUGGGGUAAUGGCCUACCAAGGCGGCGACGGGGAGCCGGCCUGAGAGGGUGGACGGCCACAUUGGGACUGAGAUACGGCCCAGACGCCUAGGGGAGGCAGCAGUGGGGAAUAUUGCACAAUGGGCGGAAGCCUGAGGCAGCGACGCCGCGUGGGGGAUGACGGCCUUCGGGUUGUAAACUCCUUUCGACAGCGAGGAAGCCACCUGGUUGGAAGGGUGGUGACGGUAGUGGUAGAAGAAGCACCGGCUAACUACGUG
This 494-nucleotide ribosomal RNA is filed under the name uncultured bacterium. RNAcentral describes it as "partial 16S ribosomal RNA". It matches the Rfam family "Bacterial small subunit ribosomal RNA", at positions 28 to 507 of the family's 1533-position model. The record is from RNAcentral.